Molecule: long non-coding RNA, 199 nt
Filed under: Carica papaya (papaya)
Lineage: Eukaryota; Viridiplantae; Streptophyta; Magnoliopsida; Brassicales; Caricaceae
Description: long non-coding RNA (CPAP_LNC014405)
Source: RNAcentral
CUUUCAUAUUUAUUGGCUUUGAGGUAUUUUAUGUUCAAUUCACAUAAUUGAAAAUAUUUGCCCAAUCAUUCAAAAAGAGAAAAACAAAAGAAAAUGUUUAUCCAAUCCCUCAAAUUAUGGGUCAGAUUUUCGUUAUUUGGGCAGACCAUUGGACUCAUUAGCAAGUUCAAUGCAAAGUUUGUAAUGGUACCUAGAGUUU